Molecule: long non-coding RNA, 3209 nt
Filed under: Sus scrofa (pig)
Lineage: Eukaryota; Metazoa; Chordata; Mammalia; Artiodactyla; Suidae
Description: lncRNA (ENSSSCG00040047102.1)
Source: RNAcentral
AGAAUUGGUCUAGUCGGAGUGUGGGGUGAGAAAGAGGGUUUCAGAAGUUCACUCAGCCCGUGAUGCAGGUGUCUGGAGACCCAAGCGGCCCUGGCCUCUACAGCCAAUACUGAACUGACCAGAAGUACAAAAGGAAUGAGGUUUCCGGGUUACAGGAUGGUGGGAUGUGGAGAUGGAGGAAUUGAGGAGAGGCAUCUGAAACUUUAGGAAAGCUGGAUUUCUGUGCUGAGAGUAACCUUUAAAAUAGGUGCAAGCCACUAAGACAAAGAGAAGGCUAGCCAAAAAAAAAAAAAUAAGGAGGACGUCCUGGAGGAGGGGCCCUGCAAGCCGGGCUCUGAAGGAAGACGGAUGUGGAGCUGAAAGAACAGAGGAAGGUGCUUUUUCCCAUGAAAAUGUUAGAGAAACUCAAAAAGUUUUGACAGUUUAAGAGAAGACAGCAGCAGGAGUCCUGGUCUGAGCAAGAAGCAAACAGUGCAGCACGGAGGCACCGGGAGACAGAUGCUAAGUGAUGGAGGCAGGCGGGGACCUGCCCGCUCUUCCCUGCCGGCUGUCUUCGUGGCCCAGCUGACGUGUCCUCUGCAGCCCGUGGGGGCAGGGGCCCAUCUCAGACAAGGCACAGGAAGCUUGGCAAACCUUGGCUUCUUCCUAAGAAAAGCAGGCUCGGCAAUGCCUACCUCAUGUGGGCAGUAGGAAAAGUGCUUAACACAGCACCUGGCUGCAAUAUACACAAGAUCGAGAAAUGCUUUUAAUAAUAGUACUAAUAGGGAUUGCUUAUACAGUGCUUACUACCUACCAGGAGUGGUUUUAAGCACUUUAUCUAUAUGACUGAUUUAAUCUUUUACAGCCCCGUAAGGCAAAUCCCAUUAUUAUCUCCACUUUACAAAGGAGGACACUAAGAUACAGAGAGGGUCUGUCACUUGCCUAUGGUCACAGAGCUGGUAGAUCUGGGAUUCAAACUCAGGUGGUCUGGCUCCAGAGGCUAGGUGUGAAUACAGAUAGAUGAAUAAAUUAGAAAGCUGGUGUAGGAGUUCCCUCUGUAGCACAACGGGAUCAGUGGCCUCUUGGGAGUGCUGGAAUAUAGGUUUGAUCACCUGCUCUGCCCAGUGGGUUAAGGAUCGGGUGUUGACGAAGCUUUGGCUUAGGUUAUGACUGCAGCUCAGAUCUGAUCCCUGGCCUGGGAAUUCCAUAUGCCAGGGGGCAGCCAAAAAAAAAAAAAGCCGGUAUAUUGGAUGGACAAAGAUCGGGGAUCCUUGUGAGUUUCAGCAAGAGGCGGGUUAUUCAAGUAGCACAUUGAUGUCUUGAAGGCUGGACGUUCUAGUCCCGGCCUCAUGGCACCCAGGAACCACAGUCAAUCAUCUAAUGUUGCUGUGCAGUGGCCUCACCUACUCUCAGCUAGAAGUGAAGGCUGUCUCCCUUGCUGAAACAGGGAUAGUAUUUGCUAUAAUUUGGAAAGUUAGAACUGGGAAGGACCCAGAGAUCACCUGACCCCCAACUGUAUGUCUGAGGGAACUGAGGCAAGAGGGGAAGUGCCCCACCCAGAGUCACGAGUGCCUGCUGACACAGCCCCCACAUCCUUGCCCAGCGCUGUUUUCUCGGCACCAUAUGGCCUCUUCUUCAUGCCAGGAAAGUCGUAUCUGGAAGUUGGAAGAACAAUUACAGAAAAAAAACCAAUUUUUUUUUUUUUUGAAGAGUUGAAUGCAGGAAUACAUGGCAGAUUGUUCUGCAAUGAGAAGGGCUCCCUUUGUUGCAUGAAGUUCCUAUUUCUGUGAGUCUGCUGACGUCAUCAGGCUUUGCCUUUCUUCCUUCCUGAAGGCUUGGGGACAGGACACUGAUACAAAAUGCACCCUCCCUGACCAAACAGGCCACUUGCUGUUCCCCAACUAUCACAGCCACAAGGGACUUUCUGGGCUUGAGGCACCUCAGGUCAUUUGGUCAAGUUCUGGCUCAGCCAGGUCUGGGUGUGAAUCUCCAGCCUCAGCUUAUUGGGCCGUGACCUUUGGCAAAUACCUUAACAGGCUCCUUAUCUCCAUUUCCCACUUAUCAAAUGGGGAAAUUACCCCCUCCUCUUGUGGGGUUAUAUAAAUGACAUUAACAUGUGUACGGAAAGAAUUUAGCCUAGGGCCUGGCCCUCAGUUAAAAGGGAGACAGGAUGGCUCCCUAGGAGGUCGGAUUCCACAUACCGUUCUGAUUUAUGUUGUUUGGGUUUGCAUCUUAUCUCUCUCUUAAGGAGAUGCCAAUCUAAUUGGCAGGAAGUGGGCCAAGUUCAUCUUUCUCUCCUGUGGCACCCACCGGGAGCCCUGCACAAAGUCAGUGCUCAGCGAGCACACGUUCCAUUGGGGUGAACUGGACACAAACAGGAUGAGUUCAUCGUCACCAGAAGCUGGUGUUGCAGCUUUUGUAAAAAGCCUUGGGGACCACCCUUCUAAACAGGCUUGGAUGUUCUGGGUAGAAAUAGAGAGUGGGGUAUCACUCACAACCCUCAUUAGAGUCUGCUUGUGGGUGAUAAACACAGUAAUAGCCUCCACCUAUAGGGGACUCCAAAUAGCCACCCAGGCUCUUCCUACCCUCAUCCUCACAUCACACUUACUGAGUGAGACAUUAUCAACCCUACCUGGUAGGAAACCGAGGCUCUGAGAGAUCCGCCAAAGGUCAGAUGCCAAGUGUACGCUGGGCCAAGGUCUGAACCCAAGCUUGUCUGACUCCCAAGUCCACCCUCUCUGCCCAGAGGCCUAAAAACCCCCUCCCACUAUCUAGCAGGCCCCCCGUGCCUGUUUCUGUAUGGCCCUAAAGCUAAGAAGGGUUUUUACACUUUUAUUUUUUAAUUUUUAUUUUAUUUUAUCAUUUUUUGACUUUUUUAGGGCCACACCCGCAGCAUAUGGAAGUUCCCAUGCCAGGGGUCGAAUCAGUGCUGUAGCUGCUGGCUUACACCACAGCAACAGCAACACAGGAUCUAAGCCAUGUCUGGGACCUACACCACGACUCAUGGCAAUGCCAGAUCCUUAACCCACUGAGCGAGGCCAGGGAUCAAACCUGCGUCCUCAUGGAUACUAGUUGAGUUUGUUAACCACUGAGCCACAACGGGAACUCUGGUUUUUAUACUUUUACAUAGUUGGAGAAGAAAUCAAAAGUAAACUAAUAUUUUGUGACACAGGAAAAUUAUAUGAUAUCCUAAUUUCAGUGUCUAUAAAUAAAGCUUUAUUAAUAAGACU